GCUGGGCGUGGUGGCUCAUGCCUGUAAUUCCAGCACUUUGGGAGGCCAAGGUGGGAGGAUCACUUGAGCCCAGGAGUUCAAGACCAGCCUGGGCUAUGUUGCUAUGUUACCCAGGCUGGUCUUGAACUCCUGGGCUCAAGUGAUCCUCCCACUUU
RNAcentral lists this small RNA (155 nucleotides) under Pongo abelii (Sumatran orangutan). Its description in RNAcentral is "Metazoan signal recognition particle RNA (ENSPPYG00000032301.1)". The record is from RNAcentral. Lineage: Eukaryota; Metazoa; Chordata; Mammalia; Primates; Hominidae.